RNAcentral lists this microRNA precursor (72 nucleotides) under Homo sapiens (human). Its description in RNAcentral is "microRNA hsa-mir-1302 precursor (hsa-mir-1302-7)". The record is from miRBase by way of RNAcentral. Lineage: Eukaryota; Metazoa; Chordata; Mammalia; Primates; Hominidae.
ACAACAUGUUUUUAGGACAUGUAUGUCUGGUGCAAUAAUUGGGACAUACUUAUGCUAAAAAAAUUAGUGUUC